GAUGAAUAGCUUAGUGGUUAAGCUCCCUUUUUCCAAACUUGAGAUCGCAGGUUCGAGGCCUGCUUGCUAUUA
This 72-nucleotide transfer RNA is filed under the name Helianthus annuus (common sunflower). RNAcentral's name for it is "tRNA-Gly". The record is from RNAcentral. Lineage: Eukaryota; Viridiplantae; Streptophyta; Magnoliopsida; Asterales; Asteraceae.